RNAcentral lists this transfer RNA (92 nucleotides) under Xylaria telfairii. Its description in RNAcentral is "tRNA-Val". It matches the Rfam family "tRNA". Rfam says of the family: Transfer RNA (tRNA) molecules are approximately 80 nucleotides in length. Their secondary structure includes four short double-helical elements and three loops (D, anti-codon, and T loops). Lineage: Eukaryota; Fungi; Ascomycota; Sordariomycetes; Xylariales; Xylariaceae. The record is from RNAcentral.
GGUUUCGUGGUGUAGUUGGUUAUCACGUCAGUCUAACAAUAUAUCUAUAUAUAUAACACUGAAGGUCUCCGGUUCAAGUCCGGGCGAAAUCA